RNAcentral lists this ribosomal RNA (468 nucleotides) under uncultured bacterium. Its description in RNAcentral is "partial 16S ribosomal RNA". It matches the Rfam family "Bacterial small subunit ribosomal RNA", at positions 28 to 507 of the family's 1533-position model. The record is from RNAcentral.
GACGAACGCUGGCGGUGUGCUUAACACAUGCAAGUCGAACGGAAAGGCCCUGCUUUUGUGGGGCGCUCGAGUGGCGAACGGGUGAGUAACACGUGAGUAACCUGCCCUUGACUUUGGGAUAACUUCAGGAAACUGGGGCGAAUAUCGGAUAGGAGCUCCUGCUGCACGGUGUGGGUUGGAAAGUUUCGGCGGUUGGGGAUGGACUCGCGGCUUAUCAGCUUGUUGGUAGGGUAGUGGCUUACCAAGGCUUUGACGGGGAGCCGGCCUGAGAGGAUGACCGGACACGUUGAGACUGAGAUACGGCCCAGACUCCAAAGGGAGGCAACAGAGGGGAAUAAUGCACAAUGAGCGGAAGCCUGAUGCAGGCACGCCGAGGGCGGGAUAACGGCCUUCGGGUUAUAAACCGAUGUCGCCUGUGAAGAGGCCAUAGUGACGGUAGUGGGUAAAGAAGCACCGGCUAACUACGUG